This 440-nucleotide ribosomal RNA is filed under the name uncultured bacterium. Its description in RNAcentral is "partial 16S ribosomal RNA". It matches the Rfam family "Bacterial small subunit ribosomal RNA", at positions 338 to 795 of the family's 1533-position model. The record is from RNAcentral.
CCUACGGGUGGCAGCAGUAGGGAAUAUUGCUCAAUGGGGGAAACCCUGAAGCAGCAACGCCGCGUGGAGGAUGAAGGUUUUCGGAUUGGAAACUCCUUUUUUUAGAGAAGUUAAUGACGGUAUCUAACGAAUAAGCACCGGCUAACUCCGUGCCAGCAGCCGCGGUAAUACGGAGGGUGCAAGCGUUACUCGGAAUCACUGGGCGUAAAGAGAGCGUAGGCGGGAUAGCAAGUCAGAUGUGAAAUCCUAUGGCUUAACCAUAGAACUGCAUUUGAAACUGUUAUUCUAGAGUAUGGGAGAGGUAGGUGGAAUUCGUGGUGUAGCGGUAAAAUCCGUAGAGAUCAAGAGGAAUACUGAUUGCGAAGGCGACCUGCUAGAACGUAACUGACGCUGAUGCGCGAAAGCGUGGGGAGCAAACAGGAUUAGAUACCCUAGUAGUC